GAUUUCUGGUCUGGUGCGCCUGGCCCACCACGUUAGUGUGUGAGUGCCGGGUCGCGCCUGCCAUCCUUCUAGUAAACAUAGCUACCCUUCACUGGGCCGGUUAUGCGAACUAGAUCUUUUACUUUGAAAAAAUUAGAGUGUUUCAAGCAGGCAUGUUUUGCUAUGAAUACAUUAGCAUGGAAUAAUAAUCUAGGACUUUCGGUUCUAUUUUGUUGGUGUUCUGGAGCUGAAGUAAUGAUUGAUAGGGAUAGUUGGGGGUGCUAGUAUUCAAUGGCCAGAGGUGAAAUUCUCGGAUUCCUUGAAGACUAACUUAUGCGAAAGCAUU
This 325-nucleotide ribosomal RNA is filed under the name Cercozoa sp. Its description in RNAcentral is "SSU rRNA". The stretch from base 105 to 325 matches the Rfam family "Eukaryotic small subunit ribosomal RNA", at positions 738 to 955 of the family's 1831-position model. The record is from RNAcentral. Lineage: Eukaryota; Cercozoa.